Apus apus (common swift) is the source of this 5065-nucleotide long non-coding RNA. RefSeq lists it as uncharacterized. Lineage: Eukaryota; Metazoa; Chordata; Aves; Apodiformes; Apodidae. The record is from RefSeq and is a predicted model, not a curated record. The transcript is spliced from 3 exons.
CUCAUCUUUGAUAAAGGGGACUUCCCGUACACUUUCCCAGAAGAUUGCUGGACCUUUGCUCCUCCAGCAGGGACGCAUGCUGGAGAGACUAAUUCUCGAGAAUUGCAAUCCACCCGGACACCCAACUGCAGCCAGAGCUUUUCCUUCAUUCUUCCAACAACAGUUUCUCAUCUCUUCUCUACAAGAAAUCAUUCUACGUUACAGACUCUGGAGACAGCUGCAGCUCCACAGCUUUCCAGCAACAUCUCUGGGUUUUUACUUUUCUUUCCACCUAUUCUUAGCUCUCUUUGUCUUUUUUUUUUUUUUUUUUUUUUUUUUUUUUUUUUUUAAACUGCAAAAUUAGUCAUUCCCAUUUCUUAACUUCUCUGUAAAGGCAUAUAGCUUAUCAGCACAUUACCAUUUUUAAACAUCAUCCACUAUGAAUUUAGAUUUAGUUCUGCAGUUCUGUCAUUCUCAACUCACAUACCAUUCAUCAGAUAAUGUCUUCUGAGUCACUGUUGUUCUGAAUCUGUUUUGAAACUUCAAGCAAACAAAGUUCUCUCAUUGUAAGUAAAAAAAAUGGUAACUGAUGGAGUUAAUCUGAAUGCAAUAAGUAAGUAGAUUAGGAAACAGUAGUAGAUUAGUAUUUUUCUCAGUUUAAGCAAAGAUUUAUGUUACUUUUGUGGUCCUGUACUUCAGGUCUCUAAGAGGCUUCCUACUUCUAAAUGAACAGGCACAGGAUGUUAAUAUAUGCAGAUAAAUCAUCCUUCAACAACAGUAUUAAAUUACUAUAAAAAUUUGUGCCAAAUUUAAUUUUCCCACAACUUUUGAGAUCUGAUACAUAAUUUAACAGAGAAAACGUUAGUGAAAAGAAUAAACUAGAGAUGUAAUGGAUGCAUCAGAAUUAUACAAACAUAUAGGUUGGAAAGAUUAUCUGGAUGUCAAGUGGUCUAACCUUCUGCUCAAAACAGGGCCAAGAGAGCAAGUUAUCAGGACCUCAUCCAGUCAUGUUUUUACCAUCUCUGUGAGUGGAAAUUUCAGCACUGCAGGUGUUCCAGCUCCAAGCCAUGUGGACUGAGACAGAGGUAACUACUGCCACAGAGGAUCCUGAAAUCAUCACCACUUCCAGAAGUUUAAUUUACCUGUAACACUUGUUGCUGGCAAAUACGGAAGUUUUCUCCUCUAUUGUGCUCAGCUGGUUUAGUUUUUAAUGUUACAAAUGGGCUUCACUAGGUCUUCAAAAGCUAUCACAGGCCCUUCUCAUGACUGAUUCAUAAUAUAUAACCCUAGGAAGAAACACUAAAAGUAUCAGAUCAGUGCCAAAAGUAAAUAAUGACACUCCUUUUCAAAUCAGUUAAAAAAGGAAAAGGUAACUAACAUAUUUUUAGCAGUUUGAGAAAUACCUAGCUUACAGUGUUCCUCUGCUUCUUUCCUCUGUGCUCAGCUUCCCUAUUUGUCUACAAACUCAGUUAUAGCCUCAUUAUAAUUGUUUAGAGCUGGUCACUGGGGAAGACACAAUAAAUGGAAAUUUAACAAGGAAUGGUACCUCAGCUAGGCUGGUGACAAGCUUAAUAGGCUGUAGCAUGCUAACUUGAAUUAGUCAUCAAAUGGACUAACCACAAUUUGCAAGUGUAGAGACUGCCACAAAGGAAGCUCAAAAAAAAGCAAGAAAGCACUGCAGAUAAAAGGAUAGUUGAGGGUACUUUCUCUAUUAGGAAUAUGUAUAAUUUUCAAGCAUACUCAGUGACAGAGGAGAACGAGAGAGGAAACCAAAUCACUUCCAAAUUUACUUUGCAUAAGGAAAAGUGGAGGAAAACAUUACAACAUCACAUAUUUUUACUGAAAUUAGCUGCUUUGUGUGUAAAUGCAAAGCUUCAAAUUUUACAUCAUUUGAAACAUUGUCCCCUAGAAUUACUUUGUUACUUAUUUUGCUAUAACUGAACUUAUCAAGUGUUUGUGGGGUCCCAAACUGAUUUAAUAUGUAUAUAUUUAUCCUCUUUGUGUAUCUCAAAAAUAUUCAUUUAUAUGCUACAAGUUAAACAUUGUUCAGCCUGACUCACUUCUGAUAGAUUUGAUAUGGAUGUAUUUCCUUUUUGACAACAACAGAAAAACAACAAAAGAAACAAAGAAAAUAACGUACAAAGCCAGAUAUGUUAUUCAGUGUUACCAUUCUCAGAGUACUACUAGAUUUAAAAUACAAGGUGGAUUCAAGCUGUCAGAAAUCAAUAAGCAAGAAACUGGAAAAAAAAUAUUGUGGUGUGGAAAAACCCUUAAGAGCUAUGCCAUAGUCUUUUUCCUGUGGAAAACGUAUACCAGGAAGCAAUAUGGAAGGCAAAAGAAGUCACAGUGAAUGUGUGUCCAUUGAUGUAUGUAAAUCUCUUCUGCUCCUCCCCCUUCUUUUUUAAAGGGAAAGGUGAGAAAGAAGGAGAUUUAGUUUUAAUACAUACUUCAAACCACACCUUGUAGACCCGAGUACCAAAAAUGCACUGCAAUAAAGAUAAAACAAAAAAGUAUAUACCAAACCAUACUAGAAAAUUAUCAUGUGCAACAUUACUCAGAUUUUAAAAUACAUUUCACAAAUAUGUAAAGAUAUUUAAAGCAGGCUGAAACAGCGAGUAUUAUGAAAGAUUUGUAAUUUUUUAAAGCAUUUUGUGCUUUAUUUAUGUAUUAAUCAGGAUGCCUCCUCAAUAUGUGGAUAUUUCAAAAAGAUUUUCUAAGGGUGUACUCAUUGUGUGAAAGAUCAGAAUUACAGAAUCGUUGAGGUCAGAAAGGACUUCGACCUGGAAAUCAUUUAGUCCAAAACACCUGCUCAAAAGCAGGGUAAAAUAAUGAACACAUGUUCAAGAGACUUUAAAGAAAUAAUCUUUGUUGUACUAAUACAUUUUUAAUUUCCUAAUAAUCAUGCUGUGUAUUCUCUAGUAAAAAAGGGAGGCCAUUUUGUUCCCAUACAUCUCUCCUUGGCCCAAAACAAUACCCUCACACUGGAGUUCUAACACAAGAACUCCCAUGACAAUAAGGCUCUUUCCGAGUUUUCUAAAACAAGUUUUUGAUUGCUAAACUUUUUACAAAGAAAACAAGUGCCAAUUUCUCUUCCAAGUGUUAUCAUUUUCUGAAAAAACAGUCUUACUAAAAGCUGUUUGUAGAUGAUAGCCAAAUUAUUAUAUGCUGAGCACGGGUAGCAGACUUAGGAAAUUCUAAAAUAUGUUUUUAAUCUCAAGAAUUAUCUCAUUCAACAGACUCCCUUAAUUUUAUAAAUCAACAUCAAGAAAAGGUAUGUUGAAGUUAAGAACAAUAUUCUGAGAUAUUUGCUCACGUGUUAGCUUUUUUUUAUUGUAAAUGCACCUUAAGGUGCAGUUAUUAAAAUGCAUUCACCUCAUCAGAGUGGGUUUUGAUAACCCCCCUAGGCAACCUAUUCCAGUACCUUACUACCCUCAUAGUGAACAAUUUCUUCCUGAUGUCUAACCUAAAUCUCCCCUCUUUCAGUUUAAAACCAUUACCCCUUGUCCUAUCACUGCCCUCUCUGAUGAAAAGCCCCUCCCCAGCUUUCCUGUAGGCCCCCUUCAGUUACUGAAAGGCCGCUAUAAGGCCUCCCUGGAGCCUUCUCUUUUCCAAGCUGAACAGCCCUAACUCUCUCAACCUGUCUUCAUGGCAGAGGUGCUCCAGCCAUUUAAUCAUCCUCAUGGCCUUUCUCUUGACCCUCUCCAACAGGUCUAUAUCUUUUCCAUGCUGAGGGUACCAGAGCUGUACACGGUAUUCCACGGUAUUCCAGGUGUGGUCUCACAAGAGCAGAGUAGGAUGUAACGCAAUUAGUCACUUUAACAUUUGCUGCCAGCAAGUUGUCAAACAGCAUUUGGAGAGAGAGGAAGGGGAGCAGUGUAUAAAUUGAUACAAUUUUAAAAUUAGAUUUUUAUGAGGAUAAUUAUUAUAUAAGCAUCAUGUAUCUCAAGAAAGAAACUGAAUGGAAAUGGAAACCAAGCUGGCUCCUGUUUGAGAAAUGUGCAGAAAUGACAAUGCAUAAAGUUCCUGGUUUACAUGGUGAAUUAACCACAAUAAACCUAUCAAAGACUUUUGAUAUACAAAGUCUACGUGUGGAGAAAAAAAAACAACCCUACAUACAACUAUAAAAUUGUAUAAAACAGAUGAAGCUUCGCUACUAGAGUAAAUAAUGAUUCUUUACAAUAGGUUUUGCCAACUGUGUAGUAAAUUACAAGCUUCUUAGGAGAUAGUUUCAUUGCUUGAGUUUUUCCCUUUUGAUUUGUGAAAAAAAAGCCAAAUACAAUGCAUAAUUUAAAGAUAUCAUUACAAGCUGCUCAUAAAAAGUGCUGUGAUACAGAUGUACUGAAAAAGUAUGGUUUCUCACUUGUUAAUGACACACUGUGAAAUGUAACAGAGUCUUGUGUUUAAACAAGCCAUAGUAUACCAAGACAAAGUACAGAUAUUUUGAAUGACAAAGUAUCUUAAAUAUACUAAUAACCAGAAUAUAAUAAAGAUAACACAAUUAGAGUAUUUAUAAAUCAAAUGGAAAAAUGGAAUCUACAACUUACUGAAUUAAAAAUCUGUUAUCUUGAAUAGCCUGUCACACAUGGUCACCUGUUUUAAAUAUUUUAAAGACAUUGUUUCAUCUGUUUCACCUCCUCAUUCACCUUUGUUUCCCUGUUUUAAUUUAAAGAGACACUUUAGGAAGAAGACCUUAGGAAAAAAAGAAAAAAAAAAAAAAAAGGCAAUACUUUUAGUGCCAAUGCUAGAAGCAUUCCUUCCCUGGAGUGGUGGGGAAGCAAAGACCAGAAAUCAUAGUAAGGAAAUAUAUAGGCACACACACCAGCUAUUAAUCAGACAUUUUAAGGGAGGGAUGUCACAAAUGGGUCACUGUCAGGUUCUGAAAGGUGGUUAAAUACGGUUUCUAUAAUUAAAGUGACUUUCUAUCAUUGGCCACGGGUUUUGAAAUGCAGUCAUUACAUUCAUAGGACUUUUCAGUCACAAAGGUGAACAGGAAACUCUGACAAUUCUUUUCAUUGCAUUAUAUAUAUAAGCAUGCAUAUAUGUAUAUAUAUGUUUUUAUAUUAAAAAAAGACAUUUGCAAAGGAAG